This 420-nucleotide ribosomal RNA is filed under the name Triticum aestivum (bread wheat). Its description in RNAcentral is "partial small subunit ribosomal RNA". Lineage: Eukaryota; Viridiplantae; Streptophyta; Magnoliopsida; Poales; Poaceae. The record is from RNAcentral.
AUGGCGGCGUCAGGGAGCGCUCAGAGCCGACGCUUCGCUGUAGCGUGCGGCGUCCUCAGCCGCUGCAUCAAGGCGGCCGAGGCGCGGCCGGUGGUCCUCCCCCUCAUGCCCGGAGCCGAAGUGCCCGCUGAAGACGAGCGCGCGGCGGGUCCUGCGCCGGCGAGCGCGCACAUGACCAUCUUCUACGGCGGCCAGGUGCUGUUGCUCGACGAGGUCCCGGACGACAGGGCGGCCGAGCUGCUCCGUGUCGCUGCCGCAGCAGGCAGCGCGCGAGGGGACGGCGACCUGCCCAUGGCGAGGAAGGCGUCACUGCAGCGGUCCAUGGAGAAGCGCAAGGGGAGGCUCGCCGCGCGCGCCGUCCCCUACAGCCGGCCCGACGGCGACACGGCCUCCUGUAAUCGUCUCACGCUUACCCUCUGA